UGUACCUUUCAGUUCCACCAAAUGGACACUUCCAGUAUCUCCACAACCCAAAGGUCGAACUGGUUUAAAGUUAUUGAGCCCUAAUCUUUCACCAUUUGCAGUGACCUUAUGUAUUGCGGUCCAUAAAGCACUGUGUCUCUUAUGAGGCCGUGGAUAGACAGGUAGAGAAUGUAAAGCCCACAAGUCUUCAGGUCUCGAGUUGGCAUCAGGAAGUUCUCGAACUGCUUCAUCUACAUUUGUUGCAGUGGCUUUGACCAACUUAGCACUUUGUUUUUCAGUUUGUUCUGAGAGGCGGUUUCUUA
Molecule: unclassified non-coding RNA, 302 nt
Filed under: Hevea brasiliensis (rubber tree)
Lineage: Eukaryota; Viridiplantae; Streptophyta; Magnoliopsida; Malpighiales; Euphorbiaceae
Source: RNAcentral